This 498-nucleotide ribosomal RNA is filed under the name uncultured bacterium. Its description in RNAcentral is "bacterial SSU rRNA". It matches the Rfam family "Bacterial small subunit ribosomal RNA", at positions 9 to 504 of the family's 1533-position model. The record is from RNAcentral.
GAGUUUGAUCCUGGCUCAGGAUUAACGCUAGCGGCAGGCCUAAUACAUGCAAGUCGAACGGUAACAGGCCCGCAAGGGUGCUGACGAGUGGCGCACGGGUGCGUAACACGUAUGCAAUCUUCCUUUAACUGGGGAACAACCCCUCGAAAGAGGGGCUAAUACCGCAUAAUUUCAUUCCGCGGCAUUGUGGAAUGAAAAAACCUACGGGGGUUAAAGAUGAGCAUGCGCUCGAUUAGCUAGUUGGCGGGGUAAUAGCCCACCAAGGCAACGAUCGAUAGGGGGUCUGAGAGGAUGAUCCCCCACACGGGUACUGAGACACGGACCCGACUCCUACGGGAGGCAGCAGUAAGGAAUAUUGGACAAUGGAGGCAACUCUGAUCCAGCCAUGCCGCGUGAAGGAUGAAGGCGCUAUGCGUUGUAAACUUCUUUUAUACGGGAAAAAUUCCCCCGAUUCUUCGGGGGUUGAUUGUACUGUAAGAAUAAGGGUCGGCCGACUUC